UGGGGAAUAUUGGACAAUGGGCGCAAGCCUGAUCCAGCCAUGCCGCGUGGGUGAUGAAGGCCUUAGGGUUGUAAAGCCCUUUCGGCGGGGGAGAUAAUGACGGUACCCGCAGAAGAAGCCCCGGCUAACUUCGUGCCAGCAGCCGCGGUAAUACGUAGGUGGCAAGCGUUGUCCGGAUUUACUGGGCGUAAAGGGUGCGUAGGAGGAUACUUAAGUCAGAUGUGAAAAUCCCGGGCUUAACUUGGGAACUGCAUUUGAAACUGGGUAUCUAGAGUGCGGGAGAGGAAAGUGGAAUUCCUAGUGUAGCGGUGAAAUGCGUAGAGAUUAGGAAGAACACCAGUGGCGAAGGCGACCUUCUGGACCGUAACUGACGCUGAGGCAUGAAAGCGUGGGGAGCAAACA
Molecule: ribosomal RNA, 402 nt
Filed under: uncultured bacterium
Lineage: Bacteria
Description: bacterial SSU rRNA
Rfam family: Bacterial small subunit ribosomal RNA
Source: RNAcentral